ACGCACGCUGGCGGCGUGCUUCACACAUGCAAGUCGCACGAAAAGAGGGAAAGAGCUUGCUCUUUCCGGAAUUGAGUGGCAAACGGGUGAGUAACACGUAAACAACCUGCCUUCAGGAUGGGGACAACAGACGGAAACGACUGCUAAUACCGAAUAAGUUCCAAGAGCCGCAUGGCCCAUGGAAGAAAAGGUGGCCUCUACCUGUAAGCUAUCGCCUGAAGAGGGGUUUGCGUCUGAUUAGCUGGUUGGAGGGGUAACGGCCCACCAAGGCGACGAUCAGUAGCCGGUCUGAGAGGAUGAACGGCCACACUGGAACUGAGACACGGUCCAGACUCCUACGGGAGGCAGCAGUGGGGAAUCUUCCGCAAUGGGCGAAAGCCUGACGGAGCAACGCCGCGUGAGUGAUGACGGCCUUCGGGUUGUAAAACUCUGUGAUCCGGGACGAAAAGGCAGAGUGCGAAGAACAAACUGCAUUGACGGUACCGGAAAAGCAAGCCACGGCUAACUACGUG
Molecule: ribosomal RNA, 512 nt
Filed under: uncultured bacterium
Lineage: Bacteria
Description: partial 16S ribosomal RNA
Rfam family: Bacterial small subunit ribosomal RNA
Source: RNAcentral